GAACAAAUUUACCAAUCAAAUCAUAAAAAAUAGUAGUACUAUUGUAACGUUGUGACUUGUAGGGAGGGAAAUGGAGGGAGGUGACGUUGGGCAUUGGGUGUUGGAGUUCCUUCUCCGGGCUCGGUACCCAGUCGUUUCCAGUAACCUACUCAAGAAAGUCCUUCGAAUAGUCCCACUUUCAGACUUUGAUUCCAGGCUUCAGAAGACGCUUCUUCUCCGAACCCUUCAAGACCACUUGUUCGCUGUCUCUGUCCCCGAAUCCGUUCUCGAAACCCUCGAGCUCCUCGAGGAACUUCACCGCCGCGACGACGGCGCUCUGAUCACCGCCGCCGCCAUGAGCGCCGCCUACUGCGCCAUUGCGGUGGACUGCACUCUCAAGCACCUGCUGGUGGAACUCCACAACAACCCUGCCUACCUCGGCGCCGUGAACAGGAUAUGGCGUGGUAGGGUUCGGCACAUGAGCGGUUCCAGGGAGGGCAGCCUUCUUCUCUCGCUGGAGUUGGAGCGGUGGAGAACCGACAUCGAAACUUCCCUUCUGGACUCGUUGGUGAGGGAGAGGUUGGCCUCCAUUGAUACAAGAAGGGACGCCGUCGUCAAGCUCCGGGAUUAUUUGAUGGAAGCAUGGACCGAUUUGGGCCCUUCGUUUCUCGAGCUAGCGGCGUUGGCGCAAAUAAACAAAAAUGCCCUAGCCGUGAAUUACUUAGAGGAUUCCCAACAGCCGGAGAGAGAAAUUGAGAAGUGCACUGCUGCUCCUGCUGAGGAAGUGCAUACCUCAACAGAUGCCGAGGUCCAAAAGGUUGGGGAAUGUGGAUCUGUGGAGUUGCAAAAGUUGGCCGAGGAUUCUCUACUUAAUUCGUUGGAAGUGAAUGAGGAGGCACCUAUUGAAAGUAGAGAUGCAGAUGUACCUUGCCCACUUGUUAUUAAUAACAAUAACAAUGAGGCUGAUCUGAUGGAAAAAGAUCAAACUUCUAUCCCUCAUAAUCAUGACCAUAAGUCAAGUUUAAUGGAAAGAAAUAGUACCGCUCGCAUUUAUGAGUGGGACGAUUCAAUAGAUGGCUUGGAGGAUGGAACAUCAGAUCAUGCAACUAGAUUUAAUUUGCCUAGCCCCAAGUGGAGAGAAGUUUCUCCAUUGGAUAAGUACAAACCUGCAAGCAUUACAAAGAGGAGAAAAGUGAAAAAAUGGAGUCAGUUGGAAGAGGAGACCCUAAAGACCGCUGUAGACAAGUUUGGCAGGGGAAAUUGGAAGUUAAUUCUAGAUUCUCACAAGGAUAUAUUUGAAGAGAGAACUGAAGUUGAUUUAAAGGACAAGUGGAGAAACAUGAGGUAAUUUGGGUACAAAUGAAUCAGCAUGUGUGGAAUAUUGCAGAGAGGUUGAUAAUUUUGGUUCAUACUACACAGUACAAACCAAGUACCCUGAAAACUGCUCAAGCAUAAACUAUAGGGUGGUUGCUGCAGUUUGCAAGUCACUUUAGGUCAGCCUGUACGAGAUGACGAGCUGGCUAUGGCUAACUGGCUGUUUUUCUGGGUGCACGCUAGUUUUCAUGCCCCAUUGUUGAAGUCUGACUUGUGAGAUUUCAGCCAUAUUUAAGGUUGCAAGUGGCCAAGGCACAAUGGUAGGGUGUCACUAGAACUGGAGUCCCUUGGGGAGUUGAUGUUAGGCAUCAGUGCGCCUGCUGCAGCUUGUUUUCUUCUGACUUUGUUUCAAACUGUAUUUUAUUCUUGUUUUAUGUCUUGGAUUCUGCUUCUUUCACCUCUAUUCUGCUUAUGGGUGACAUUUCUCUAUUUCUUUCUAACUGUUGUUUCUUGUUUGUGGUUAGAUAUGCCUUGUUUUCCGUUUCCUUCAUCAGUUUGCCACAACUUAUCACUCUGGUGUCUUGGAUUGUUUAUAUUCCUAUUAUAUGUAAUAGAUUUCUUUGUCUUAUCUAAUCAAAUACUUAUGUACA
This is an RNA transcript of Glycine soja, 1943 nucleotides long. It is a transcript of the gene named telomeric repeat-binding factor 2-like, with no coding region annotated. NCBI's taxonomy places the organism in Eukaryota, Viridiplantae, Streptophyta, Magnoliopsida, Fabales, Fabaceae. The record is from RefSeq and is a predicted model, not a curated record. The transcript is spliced from 7 exons.